AUUGAACGCUGGCGGCAUGCCUUACACAUGCAAGUCGAACGGCAGCACGGGUGCUUGCCCCUGGUGGCGAGUGGCGAACGGGUGAGUAAUACAUCGGAACAUGUCCUGUAGUGGGGGAUAGCCCGGCGAAAGCCGGAUUAAUACCGCAUACGAUCUACGGAUGAAAGCGGGGGACCUUCGGGCCUCGCGCUAUAGGGUUGGCCGAUAGCUGAUUAGCUAGUUGGUGGGGUAAAGGCCUACCAAGGCGACGAUCAGUAGCUGGUCUGAGAGGACGACCAGCCACACUGGGACUGAGACACGGCCCAGACUCCUACGGGAGGCAGCAGUGGGGAAUUUUGGACAAUGGGCGAAAGCCUGAUCCAGCAAUGCCGCGUGUGUGAAGAAGGCCUUCGGGUUGUAAAGCACUUUUGUCAGGAAAGAAAUCCUUGGCUCUAAUACAGUCGGGGGAUGACGGUACCGGAAGAAUAAGCACCGGCUAACUACGUG
RNAcentral lists this ribosomal RNA (486 nucleotides) under uncultured bacterium. RNAcentral describes it as "partial 16S ribosomal RNA". It matches the Rfam family "Bacterial small subunit ribosomal RNA", at positions 30 to 507 of the family's 1533-position model. The record is from RNAcentral.